RNAcentral lists this ribosomal RNA (386 nucleotides) under uncultured bacterium. RNAcentral's name for it is "bacterial SSU rRNA". It matches the Rfam family "Bacterial small subunit ribosomal RNA", at positions 29 to 416 of the family's 1533-position model. The record is from RNAcentral.
AUUGAACGCUGGCGGCAUGCUUUACACAUGCAAGUCGAACGGCAGCACGGGGGCAACCCUGGUGGCGAGUGGCGAACGGGUGAGUAAUGCAUCGGAACAUACCCAGUCGUGGGGGAUAACGUAGCGAAAGUUACGCUAAUACCGCAUACGUCCUGAGGGAGAAAGCGGGGGAUCGCAAGACCUCGCGCGAUUGGAGUGGCCGAUGUCAGAUUAGCUAGUUGGUGGGGUAAAGGCCCACCAAGGCGACGAUCUGUAGCGGGUCUGAGAGGAUGAUCCGCCACACUGGGACUGAGACACGGCCCAGACUCCUACGGGAGGCAGCAGUGGGGAAUUUUGGACAAUGGGGGAAACCCUGAUCCAGCCAUGCCGCGUGAGUGAAGAAGGCC